This 1401-nucleotide ribosomal RNA is filed under the name metagenome. RNAcentral's name for it is "SSU rRNA". It matches the Rfam family "Eukaryotic small subunit ribosomal RNA", at positions 278 to 1722 of the family's 1831-position model. The record is from RNAcentral.
CUCAAAUUUGAGAUGGAUCAUUCAAGUUUCUGCCCUAUCAGCUUUCGAUGGUAGUGUAUUGGACUACCAUGGCAGUCACGGGUACGGAGAAUUAGGGUUUGAUUCCGGAGAGGGAGCCUGAGAAACGGCUACCACAUCUAAGGAAGGCAGCAGGCGCGUAAAUUACCCAAUCCUGAUUCAGGGAGGUAGUGACAAGAAAUAACAACCUGGGGGCCAUCUGGCCUUACGGGAUUGCAAUGAGGACAAUUUAAACCACUUAGCGAGGAACAAUAGGAGGGCAAGUCUGGUGCCAGCAGCCGCGGUAAUUCCAGCUCCUAUAGCGUAUAUUAAAGUUGUUGCAGUUAAAAGCUCGUAGUUGAACUUCUGGCUGUUGCUAGUUUCGGCCUCGGUCGAGCUAGUGGCAGUCAUCCGUCUGCGAACCGCACUCGGCCUUCACUGGUUCGAUACGGGGAGUAGGCACUUUACUUUGAAAAAAUUAGAGUGUUCCAGGCAGGCAAUUGCCAGAAUACAUUAGCAUGGAAUAAUGGAAUAGGACUCUGGUCCAUUUGGUUGGUUAUUGGAUUAGAGUAAUGAUUAAUAGGGACAGUUGGGGGCAUUAGUAUUUAAUUGUCAGAGGUGAAAUUCUUGGAUUUAUUAAAGACUAACUUAUGCGAAAGCAUUUGCCAAGGAUGUUUUCAUUAAUCAAGAACGAAAGUUAGGGGAUCAAAUACGAUCAGAUACCGUAGUAGUCUUAACUAUAAACUAUACCGACUCAGGAUCGGAUGGGUCUUCAAAGCCUAUUCGGCACUGUAUGAGAAAUCAAAGUCUUUGGGUUCUGGGGGGAGUAUGGUCGCAAGGCUGAAACUUAAAGGAAUUGACGGAAGGGCACCACCAGGAGUGGAGCCUGCGGCUUAAUUUGACACAACACGGGGAGACUUACCAGGUCAAAACAUGGGUGGGAUUGACAGAUUGAGAGCUCUUUCUCGAUUCUAUGGGUGGUGGUGCAUGGCCGUUCCUAGUUGGUGGAGUGAUUUGUCUGGUUAAUUCCGAUAACGAACGAGACCUUAACCUGCUAACUAGUCUUUCAGUCUCCAACUGGAAGUACUUCUUAGAGGGACUAUGCGGCUGAAACGCAUGGAAGUUUGAGGCAAUAACAGGUCUGUGAUGCCCUUAGAUGUCCUGGGCCGCACGCGCGCUACAAUGACAUGCUCAGCAAGUUCUACCCUGGCUCGGAAGAGUUCGGGUAAUCUCCAUAAUACAUGUCGUGUUAGGGAUCGAUCUUUGAAAUUAUAGAUCUUGAACGAGGAAUUCCUAGUAAGUGCAAGUCAUCAGCUUGUACUGACUACGUCCCUGCCCUUUGUACACACCGCCCGUCGCUCCUACCGAUUUCGAGUGAUCCGGUGAACAUUCUGGACUGAGGCU